UCGAUGCCGCGUGUGNAAGAAGGCCUGAGGGUUGUAAAGCACUUUCAGUGGGGAGGAGGUCUUGCAUGUUAAGAGCUAGUGAGAUGGACGUUACCCACAGAAGAAGCACCGGCAAACUCCGUGCCAGCAGCCGCGGUAAUACGGAGGGUGCGAGCGUUAAUCGGAAUUACUGGGCGUAAAGCGUGCGUAGGCGGUUUAAUAAGUUAUAAAUGAAAUAGUUGGGCUCAACCUAAUUGCUGUUUAUAAGACUGUUAGACUGGAGUAUAGGAGAGGGUGGUGGAAUUUCCGGUGUAGCGGUGAAAUGCGUAGAGAUCGGAAGGAACACUGGUGGCGAAGGCGGCCACCUGGCCUAAUACUGACGCUGAGGUACGAAAGCAUGGGGAGUAAACAGGAUUAGAUACCCUGGUAGUCCAUGCUGUAAACGAUGUCAACUAGCUGUUGGUGCUGUAGUGGCAUUAGUGGCGCAGCUAACGCGAUAAGUUGACCGCCUGGGGAGUACGGUCGCAAGAUUAAAACUCAAAGGAAAUUGACGGGGGCCCGCACAAGCGGUGGAGCAUGUGGUUUAAU
Molecule: ribosomal RNA, 567 nt
Filed under: uncultured bacterium
Lineage: Bacteria
Description: bacterial SSU rRNA
Rfam family: Bacterial small subunit ribosomal RNA
Source: RNAcentral